Molecule: long non-coding RNA, 865 nt
Organism: Salvelinus namaycush (lake trout)
Lineage: Eukaryota; Metazoa; Chordata; Actinopteri; Salmoniformes; Salmonidae
Exons: 3
Source: RefSeq, a predicted model, not a curated record
UGCUAAGCAGUGCCCAUUACCACUAUCCUCCUGGCAGUUCUAAACUGAGGCAUGUCACUUCACCGAUCUCUUUGCAUAGCCCACCACAUGCACUGUUUUCUUAACCGCGACUGGAUGGAUCCAUAGAGAAUUACUGUGGGAAUAAAUAUCACUGAAUAACGAACAUUUUUACUAAAGUAGGCUAACGAAAUUGAAGGGAUCAAAUUGUUAUAAUACAAUUGAAGCAAUAGCCUACCUGCGUGUGGUCAACUUUCAACUAUUUCAGCACCGUUUCGUGAGGACUCGUCUUGAUAAAUCAAUCAAUGACAGAUUUUUUUUUCUUACUAAAUCUCCGUUUGGGUAUUGGUUAGGCUACAAUUAGGCUGUGGAAAUGUUAGCUAAAUUGAGCUGAGAAUUCCACCCUGGAUUAAGACCAUUCUGUCUAAUGUUUUGUGUUUGCAGAAAACUAAAUUGGAGAGGCAUUGUGGAAGUGUGUGGAUGCUGUGAGUAUUCUCACAGAAUGAGGCGUUGGGAGCACCAUCUGUUUUCACCACCUCCAGAUCAGGGAUGGCUGAACAGUGAUUCCUCCAGUUACCUUUCAAGACGGAAAACAAUACGAUAUCCUUCAAAUAAUUCAGAACUAAGAAUACUAAUCUUAACUCGCAAGCGUGGAAACUAAAAACACUUUCAGAUUUCUAGGUCAUUGUUGGAGGGACACAUUUAGGCGAGUUUUGUUUUCACUUGAAAGAGCAGCAAAAUAUUUAACAAAGCACUUACCUGGGAAACUUAGAUACACUUCUUCCACGUCAGUUUUGCACUUACAUACCAGCUGUGAAAAGUGUCUAUGUACAUCCUUUUCAACAAUAAAUUCACUUACUCCAAAGAG